Molecule: unclassified non-coding RNA, 253 nt
Filed under: uncultured Planctomycetales bacterium
Lineage: Bacteria; Pseudomonadati; Planctomycetota; Planctomycetia; Planctomycetales
Description: contains 16S-23S intergenic spacer region
Rfam family: Bacterial small subunit ribosomal RNA
Source: RNAcentral
UACGAACUGUGCGAACGUUAUUCGGAAUCACUGGGCUUACAGGGUGCGUAGGCGGCCUUUCAAGUCAGGUGUGAAAUCCCCCGGCUCAACCGGGGAACUGCGCUUGAAACUGGAGGGCUUGAGUCAGCUAGAGGUAGGCGGAACUUCCGGUGGAGCGGUGAAAUGUGUUGAUAUCGGAAGGAACACCAGAGGCGAAAGCGGCCUGCUGGAGCUGGUCUGACGCUGAGGCACGAAAGCCAGGGGAGCGAACGGG